Molecule: long non-coding RNA, 1025 nt
Organism: Pectinophora gossypiella (pink bollworm)
Lineage: Eukaryota; Metazoa; Arthropoda; Insecta; Lepidoptera; Gelechiidae
Exons: 3
Source: RefSeq, a predicted model, not a curated record
UAUAUUGCGAAGCGGAACGUAACCCUGAAGUGACAUUUGAUAACGAGACGUCAACUUUAUAUUGUGAAACGGAACGCAACCGUGAAGUGUCAUUUGACAAUGGCAAACAAGAUGGCGACUACACGUCAACAACAGGUGAUGUACUGAGCGUCGAUAAACGCAUGACGGGUACAAGAAAACCUAUGAAAAUAAUGAAAAUUGCUGGUAAGGAACUGAGUGCGCUUAUUGAUACCGGCAGUGAUGUUAAUCUAAUGUCGUGGCAGUGCUAUAAAAGCUUAACUGGGUGCAAAUACGAUGACUGUGACGUGGUGUUGACGGGACUCGGCUCGACGAGAAUUCGUGCGCUUGGGCAAAUAAUAACAUCAGUGUCUGUGGACGACGUCUGUUAUAGAGACAUUACGUUUUAUAUAGUGCAAAAUAACGCUAUACCUUGUUCUGUUAUCAUUGGGCAACAAUUUUUACAGCACACAGUUAUGGACGUGAGGUGUCGCCGGGAGUGCAGCGAGCAGUGGGUGAGUUGGUGACGUCAUAUCAACCGGUAAAGACGAGGGAAGCUCCCAUCAAGCUCAAACUACACCUGAAAGAUGAUAUCCCUGUAGCGCAGCGACCGCGUCGUGUGGCGUUAAAGGAACAGAUUGAAAUUGAUGCUCAAGUAAAACAGUGGUUACAGGAUGGAAUUAUCCGCCAGAGGAUGAACAACAAGCGGUGCAGCGGUUGGAACGAGUGUUGAGAAGAGCUUCCGAAUAUGGCCUGGAUAUUAAUUGGAAAAAGAGUCAGCUUGUGGUGAAGAGUGUUGAAUACUUGGGGCAUGUUAUUGGAUGUGGAGAGAUACGACCAUCGCCCGAGAAGACGCAGGUAGUCAGGAGAUAUCCAGAGCCAAAAGAUUUAAAACAGCUGCACAGCUUUGUUGGAUUAUGCUCAUAUUUCAGGAAGUUUGUGGAGAAUUUUGCCAUUGUGGCGAAGCCAUUAACAGACUUAUUAAAGAAGAAUGUUCAAUUUGAGUUUAGUGAUGAGCAUAGAAAGAG